This 285-nucleotide ribosomal RNA is filed under the name Staphylococcus aureus. RNAcentral describes it as "partial 16S ribosomal RNA". It matches the Rfam family "Bacterial small subunit ribosomal RNA", at positions 180 to 459 of the family's 1533-position model. The record is from RNAcentral. Lineage: Bacteria; Bacillati; Bacillota; Bacilli; Caryophanales; Staphylococcaceae.
UUUGAACCGCAUGGUUCAAAAGUGAAAGACGGUCUUGCUGUCACUUAUAGAUGGAUCCGCGCUGCAUUAGCUAGUUGGUAAGGUAACGGCUUACCAAGGCAACGAUGCAUAGCCGACCUGAGAGGGUGAUCGGCCACACUGGAACUGAGACACGGUCCAGACUCCUACGGGAGGCAGCAGUAGGGAAUCUUCCGCAAUGGGCGAAAGCCUGACGGAGCAACGCCGCGUGAGUGAUGAAGGUCUUCGGAUCGUAAAACUCUGUUAUUAGGGAAGAACAUAUGUGUA